RNAcentral lists this ribosomal RNA (252 nucleotides) under uncultured bacterium. Its description in RNAcentral is "partial 16S ribosomal RNA". It matches the Rfam family "Bacterial small subunit ribosomal RNA", at positions 524 to 776 of the family's 1533-position model. The record is from RNAcentral.
UACGUAGGGGGCAAGCGUCAUCCGGAUUUACUGGGUGUAAAGGGAGCGUAGACGGCCAGACAAGUCUGAAGUGAAAUCCAGCGCUUAACGUUGGAAGUGCUUUGGAAACUGCCGGGCUGGAGUGCAGGAGGGGCAGGCGGAAUUCCUAGUGUAGCGGUGAAAUGCGUAGAUAUUAGGAGGAACACCAGUGGCGAAGGCGGCCUGCUGGACUGCAACUGACGUUGAGGCUCGAAGGCGUGGGGAGCAAACAGG